UUGGAUCACCUCCUAACAGGGAGACAACACAAUGAUUUUGAUGCCUGAGUAUUUUUAUUCUUAGGCCGAAAUCCUGUCACUUUAGGUCGAUCGGUACCUCAGCUUUGAAGUUAAGAAUCAGCAGCAAUGUUGAUUGCUUGAUGGAGAUUUUCAGUUCCUAAACUUUGUCUAGGUCACACCCCAAAAAGGGAUGAGACUCCUGGGCCAGUAGCUCAGGUGGUUAGAGCGCACCCCUGAUAAGGGUGAGGUCCCUGGUUCAAGUCCAGGAUGGCCCAUUCGGUGUUGGGGGUUUAGCUCAGUUGGUAGAGCGCCUGCUUUGCAAGCAGGAUGUCAGGAGUUCGAGUCUCCUAACCUCCACUGACCGAACUGUAUCCCCAUCUCCAAGAUGUUGGAGUUGAGCUCGAUUGGAGUGUGAUUUAGAUGUGUCCGCUGGAAGACCCCAGCUUCCUGUCAUUCCAAAGACAAGUAAAAAGUUUACUUGUUGACUUUGGUUGAUAAGAUGCUGGGCUCAAAUGAGUUGAUCAAGCAAUUGAUCAAUUGAUUUGAAGUUCUAGCAGAACCUUGACAACUGCAUAGGUAAGUCUGGAAAGAAUAAAGCAUCUCAUGGAUGAUGCGAUGACUCUAAACAAUGAUCUGAAAGGAUGAUUGAGAGGAGUGAUUGUGAAUUCUAUAGAGCAAGAGCCGAGACUCCAUCACGUUCUUUUGAUUGUGUCGAGCAAUCAAGAGUUUGAUUUUUGAUUCAGCAAUGAAUCAAGAAGAAUCUGUUUCAACGACAGCAAGCGUGUUGGAGAUUAUAUGGUCAAGCUACAAAGGGCUCACGGCGGAUACCUUGGCACACAGAGGCGAUGAAGGA
This 853-nucleotide transfer RNA is filed under the name uncultured Synechococcus sp. RNAcentral's name for it is "partial contains 16S ribosomal RNA, 16S-23S ribosomal RNA intergenic spacer, and 23S ribosomal RNA". The stretch from base 285 to 357 matches the Rfam family "tRNA". Lineage: Bacteria; Bacillati; Cyanobacteriota; Cyanophyceae; Synechococcales; Synechococcaceae. The record is from RNAcentral.